This 246-nucleotide unclassified non-coding RNA is filed under the name Hevea brasiliensis (rubber tree). Lineage: Eukaryota; Viridiplantae; Streptophyta; Magnoliopsida; Malpighiales; Euphorbiaceae. The record is from RNAcentral.
CUGACCGGACCCACAUGGUGCACGUUUCAGGCCAUCCCCGGCGCGACGAACUGCGCGACAUGAUCUCGUGGGUUCGCCCGCAACUGCUGAUCCCGGCGCAUGGCGAGGCGCUGCAUCUGUCCGAGCAUGCCANNNNNGCGCGCGAGUGCGGCGUGCCGAAGGUCUUGAUCUGCAAGAACGGCGAUCUGGUGCGGCUGGGUCCGGGCGAUCCCGCGAUCAUCGAGGAACUGCCCCCCGGGCGGGUCU